GGCGCACAGUCGGGACGGCGGCUUCCAGCAGGGAUCCAUUAAGAAAUUAGACGCUGGGGUUUGGGUCUCGGCCACAAGAUGAAGGGAAACCAAUACUGGCUGGUAUCUGGGAAACUGUCACCAUGCUACCAAAUGAGGUUACAGGAUAUGCGUUACAGGGGUUGAUUCUGGGUGGUGGGGGGGGGCGCAAGGGGGUGAAAAGAGAUGGAGACACAGGCGCCCACCUGCAGCAGGAAGCCGCAGGUUUUAAAGUGCUGUUGGGUGUUCCAGCUCCAAACAUCGGCGUUGUAUUAAAGAGAGCGCACGUCUCGUGCAUGACAAGGUGGACCUACGAAGGAGGCCCUGCGCGCUACGAAGACAUGCUAAUGCUCGUGAUGGAUGUGGCACGUUAGACCGGCCACGUCGGCGUUAUUACAUUCCCAGACACAAGGAAGCUCCGCGUCUGGAGAUUCACGAAGCCGUGGAAAACUUAAUAAGGCCUGUCCCCAUGGCAUGAAUAUCUUGUUUCGUCGAGGAAAAACACUCCAUGAAUGUCAAGGUUGGCCCCAAUGUUGUGCGUCUCACACAGGAUUCUCCGCACUGCCGACGCGAUGACAGUUUUGGCUUAAAACCCGAGCAUAUACCUUUUUUUUCUUUUUGAUUGGAUUAUUACACACAAGUCAUGUGUGUCCACCGCUCACGUCGGGGGAAAACAUCCCUUCUGGAGAAAAUAAAGCGACUUGACCGAAGUCCCCGGCUGGCCUUCUGCCAAGCGCUGGAUCUGGGAGCCACUUCUCGGGUGGCUUGUUAAACUCUGGUUGCCCCUGGGAGCCACCGAUCAACAAACGCCGAGGAGGUGACGCACCGCACGUCGGAGAUAAUAUUACACGCUGACAAUGGCCGCCUGGGCUGAGAUUUAGAAAGAGCCCCCGUUGGAAGCUUCUGUAAACAUUACACAGAAGGCCGGCCCGAGAAACAUCUCGCUCACGCGAACUGGUCAGGCGACAUUCCAUUCAUAACUUGUGAGGUUAUUUUUAAUGAGUAUAAACAGAGUUUAUUUAUCAGAUGUGGUUCUAGCUAAUAAGAGUGCAAAUCCCCCCAUGAGACUUCUUUUUGGGGGAGUUUUUCCUUGAGAAUUCGGUAAUAAACUUUGUUUUGUUUAUAUUCCAG
Long non-coding RNA from Gasterosteus aculeatus aculeatus (three-spined stickleback), 1149 nucleotides. The record is from Ensembl. NCBI's taxonomy places the organism in Eukaryota, Metazoa, Chordata, Actinopteri, Perciformes, Gasterosteidae.